Molecule: ribosomal RNA, 492 nt
Filed under: uncultured bacterium
Lineage: Bacteria
Description: partial 16S ribosomal RNA
Rfam family: Bacterial small subunit ribosomal RNA
Source: RNAcentral
AGUGAACGCUGGCGGUAGGCCUAACACAUGCAAGUCGAACGGCAGCACAGUAAGAGCUUGCUCUUACGGGUGGCGAGUGGCGGACGGGUGAGGAAUACAUCGGAAUCUACUUUUUCGUGGGGGAUAACGUAGGGAAACUUACGCUAAUACCGCAUAUGACCUACGGGUGAAAGCAGGGGAUCUUCGGACCUUGCGCGAUUGAAUGAGACGAUGUCGGAUUAGCUAGUUGGCGGGGUAAAGGCCCACCAAGGCGACGAUCCGUAGCUGGUCUGAGAGGAUGAUCAGCCACACUGGAACUGAGACACGGUCCAGACUCCUACGGGAGGCAGCAGUGGGGAAUAUUGGACAAUGGGCGCAAGCCUGAUCCAGCCAUACCGCGUGGGUGAAGAAGGCCUUCGGGUUGUAAAGCCCUUUUGUUGGGAAAGAAAAGCAGCAGGUUAAUACCCCGCUGUUCUGACGGUACCCAAAGAAUAAGCACCGGCUAACUUCGUG